RNAcentral lists this ribosomal RNA (977 nucleotides) under Cortinarius sclerophyllarum. RNAcentral describes it as "eukaryotic LSU rRNA". It matches the Rfam family "Eukaryotic large subunit ribosomal RNA", at positions 1 to 964 of the family's 3401-position model. Lineage: Eukaryota; Fungi; Basidiomycota; Agaricomycetes; Agaricales; Cortinariaceae. The record is from RNAcentral.
GUGACCUCAAAUCAGGUAGGAUUACCCGCUGAACUUAAGCAUAUCAAUAAGCGGAGGAAAAGAAACUAACAAGGAUUCCCCUAGUAACUGCGAGUGAAGCGGGAAAAGCUCAAAUUUAAAAUCUGUCAGUCUUUGGCUGUCCGAGUUGUAAUCUAGAGAAGUGUUAUCCGCGCUGGACCGUGUACAAGUCUCCUGGAAUGGAGCGUCAUAGAGGGUGAGAAUCCCGUCUCUGACACGGACUACCAGGGCUUUGUGAUGCGCUCUCAAAGAGUCGAGUUGUUUGGGAAUGCAGCUCAAAAUGGGUGGUAAAUUCCAUCUAAAGCUAAAUAUUGGCGAGAGACCGAUAGCGAACAAGUACCGUGAGGGAAAGAUGAAAAGAACUUUGGAAAGAGAGUUAAACAGUACGUGAAAUUGCUGAAAGGGAAACGCUUGAAGUCAGUCGCGUUGUCCAGGGAUCAACCUUGCUUUUGCUUGGUGUACUUUCUGGUUGACGGGUCAGCAUCAAUUUUGAUCAUUGGAAAAAGGUUAAGGGAAUGUGGCAUCUUUGGAUGUGUUAUAGCCCUUGAUUGUAUACAAUGGUUGGGAUUGAGGAACUCAGCACGCCGAAAGGCCGGGUUUUAACCACGUACGUGCUUAGGAUGCUGGCAUAAUGGCUUUAAUCGACCCGUCUUGAAACACGGACCAAGGAGUCUAACAUGCCUGCGAGUGUUUGGGUGGAAAACCCGAGCGCGUAAUGAAAGUGAAAGUUGAGAUCCCUGUCGUGGGGAGCAUCGACGCCCGGACCAGACCUUUUGUGACGGUUCCGCGGUAGAGCAUGUAUGUUGGGACCCGAAAGAUGGUGAACUAUGCCUGAAUAGGGUGAAGCCAGAGGAAACUCUGGUGGAGGCUCGUAGCGAUUCUGACGUGCAAAUCGAUCGUCAAAUUUGGGUAUAGGGGCGAAAGACUAAUCGAACCAUCUAGUAGCUGGUUCCUGCCGA